AGCCGUAAUACAUAAUAGUAUGGGUUGAGUAAUGCCUAGGAAUCUGCCUGGUAGUGGGGGAUAACGUUUUCGAAAGGAACGCUAAUACCGCAUACGUCCUACGGGAGAAAGUGGGGGAUCUUCGGACCUCACGCUAUCAGAUGAGCCUAGGUCGGAUUAGCUAGUUGGUGGGGUAAUGGCCCACCAAGGCGACGAUCCGUAACUGGUCUGAGAGGAUGAUCAGUCACACUGGAACUGAGACACGGUCCAGACUCCUACGGGAGGCAGCAGUGGGGAAUAUUGGACAAUGGGCGAAAGCCUGAUCCAGCCAUGCCGCGUGUGUGAAGAAGGUCUUCGGAUUGUAAAGCACUUUAAGUUGGGAGGAAGGGCAGUAAGUUAAUACCUUGCUGUUUUGACGUUACCAACAGAAUAAGCACCGGCUAACUUCGUGCCAGCAGCCGCGGUAAUACGAAGGGUGCAAGCGUUAAUCGGAAUUACUGGGCGUAAAGCGCGCGUAGGUGGUUCAGCAAGUUGGAUGUGAAAGCCCCGGGCUCAACCUGGGAAUUGCAUCCAAAACUACUGAGCUAGAGUACGGUAGAGGGUGGUGUAAU
RNAcentral lists this ribosomal RNA (590 nucleotides) under Metapseudomonas otitidis. Its description in RNAcentral is "bacterial SSU rRNA". It matches the Rfam family "Bacterial small subunit ribosomal RNA", at positions 83 to 667 of the family's 1533-position model. The record is from RNAcentral. Lineage: Bacteria; Pseudomonadati; Pseudomonadota; Gammaproteobacteria; Pseudomonadales; Pseudomonadaceae.